Long non-coding RNA from Heterocephalus glaber (naked mole-rat), 1237 nucleotides. Lineage: Eukaryota; Metazoa; Chordata; Mammalia; Rodentia; Bathyergidae. The record is from Ensembl.
CUCUGCCGCCUUCCGCCCGGAAAUUCCGGCCCUUGCGGCUCUCCGAAGCUCCUCUGAGGCGAUGGGCUUGCUUUCUGGGUCCCAGAAGCUUGGUUAGGAGUUGGCACAGGCGCCCCGGCCUCGGCUGACCCCGGCCCCGGCUGACCCCGGCCCCGGCUGACCCCGGCCCCUGAGACGUGGGUGGAUUGCUGGCAGGGAUCCGACGUGCAGUCUCUGCCCACCUUCGUUGUUCCCAGAAUCUGAGCUCUCAAAGAUGGCAGCCACCCCCCCUGGAGUGGAAUCAACUUGGAGUACGUCUCAAGGGCAUAGAAAUCAAGUAGGAAGUAUAGGGAUACCAUUCUUUCUCUUGGAUUUCUUCUGGGGAACUCAGUGUCAAAUAUGCAUGGUGUGCCUACCCCCUAGAGCCAAAGUAGAAUACAGAGGGAAGUAUUGAUUGUGAUGCUAUUUCACAACUAGACUCAUACUGCAAGAAAGAGAAAAUGGUCAAAAUUGCCUUAUGUUCAGACUUUCUUUGCACUGAGAAUUAAUCCUUGCUUGUGUGCAAAAUGUAAACGUAAGCCACAAGAAAACCAGAUACGUAGCCUUUAAGGCAUUCAGUACCACUGAGCCUGAGGCCAUUCUUCUUCACCCUUUAGAACCUGAGGAAGCAGUUUCCAAGAUAAUUUUAACAGCCUUGACUACUGUUACUAAGUCUCCUCCGUCCCACCAGCAUCAGCGCCACAAACCUGGAACCUCCGUCCCUGCCGCUGCAGCUUGCCCCCAGAGCUCGCUGCCGAGUGCGGGCCACACAGUAUCUGAAUCUAUCCUGCAGAAGCACCAAGGGGCCAUAAAGGCCAUGGUUAUGAGCUCCAGAAGAUAGAGCAGAAAUGAACAACAGAGAGAGGGGUUCUCUGGGGCUCUUCAAUGAAAAUUGAAGCCCACUGGGAAAGUGAAGAAAACCUCUGCAAUAAAGGCACACUGGACCACUGUGAUUGGUAAGUUGGUGGGAUCAGCACCUCCCAUAGAAACCCGGGCUCACUUUGGAGGAAGGACAGCUGGAUCCUGCAGUAGAACCUUGCAGAGUUUAGUCCUGCAAGAGGUCAGGGACCCUGUUUUGGAUUGUUUUUUUCUCUCCUCCCUUCUCUUGACUGUCACUUCUUAUCAGAAGGUGAAUACAGUUUCUAGCUUCCCUGUGGCUCUUAGCUUGUUCUGUUCUUGCUCUUUUUUUUUUUUUUUGGGUACUAGGGAUUGAACUCAG